RNAcentral lists this ribosomal RNA (460 nucleotides) under uncultured bacterium. Its description in RNAcentral is "partial 16S ribosomal RNA". It matches the Rfam family "Bacterial small subunit ribosomal RNA", at positions 338 to 795 of the family's 1533-position model. The record is from RNAcentral.
CCUACGGGUGGCAGCAGUGAGGAAUAUUGGUCAAUGGGCGCGAGCCUGACCCAGCCAAGUAGCGUGAAGGAUGACUGCCCUACGGGUUGUAAACUUCUUUUAUAAAGGAAUAAACUGAGGCACGUGUGCAUUUUUGUAUGUACUUUAUGAAUAAGGAUCGGCUAACUCCGUGCCAGCAGCCGCGGUAAUACGGAGGAUCCGAGCGUUAUCCGGAUUUGUUGGGUUUAAAGGGAGCGUAGAUGGGUUGUUAAGUCAGUUGUGAAAGUUUGCGGCUCAACCGUAAAAUUGCAAUUGAUACUGGCAGUCUUGAGUACAGUUGAGGUAGGCGGAAUUCGUGGGGUAGCGGUGAAAUGCUUAGAGAUCACGAAGAACUCCGAGUGCGAAGGCAGCUUACUAAGCUGUGACUGACAUUGAUGCUCGAAAGUGUGGGUAUCAAACAGGAUUAGAUACCCGGGUAGUC